Long non-coding RNA from Scleropages formosus (Asian bonytongue), 753 nucleotides. RefSeq lists it as uncharacterized. The transcript is spliced from 5 exons. Lineage: Eukaryota; Metazoa; Chordata; Actinopteri; Osteoglossiformes; Osteoglossidae. The record is from RefSeq and is a predicted model, not a curated record.
UAGACGUCAGUGCAAAUACGAUGGGUGCCUAUUCAGCUACAAUUAUGAAUUGUAUUUGUUCAGAAAUAAAGCCCAUAAUGAGAGUUAUGGACAAUGAUUUGAGACACGAGGAAGGUUAACGUUAAGUUUUUUUUCGGUCUCUCAGCUGACUGACCGUCAGUGGUGGUCUGACGUGAUCGAUCGGUCACCGUGGAUUCUUCGAGAUGGUAUUCGGCCCCCCGGGAAGAAAGCAGUGGCUCGGACCACCUGCCUCCCAUCAGCCUAAACGGUACCUGCACCAUGGAGCUGCACCCCAAGGCCCAAGGCGUUGUCCUGCAUCAUGGGAAAGAGGAAGCACCACUUGUCCCUCCUUCUCAAACCUCAUCAGACUCUACAACUCUGUGCCAGAUUUACAGCAGCUCUGGAUUUCUCCUCACGCUGCAGCAGUGGAUGACACCACAGAGCACUGGCAGGAAUGAAGCCUGGUGGACACACGUGUCUCCACAGAAAAUGUCUGGUGGGACAUGCCCACUGCUGAACCUGAACAUCAGAGGAAAUCAGAUGCCCCUCUCUGUACUUGUCCUCCUAGGAGCACUGGGUUUUCCAAGUAGCUAUUUCAUAUACUCGGUUUCAACCCUCCUAGGCUGGUGUUCAGUGACUUUGGAACAGAUUCCUGACCACCACGACCCUGAAAAGGGCAAGCAGUUAAAAUCCUGUUCACUCAUGAUUGGAAAAUUGCAAGAUGAAUAAAGAGGAGAAAGAAUGAGAUGGUGC